GAACGCACAUUGCACUCCUUUGGAGUAUGCCUGUUUGAGAAUCUAUAGUAUUUAUUUUUGGUUUGCUUUCGAGCGACCAAAAGAUUUGAGAUGUCUCCCUAGCAUUAUUGUUGGGCGAGUAUCUUUAAACUUAUAGCCUCUUUUGUGGUAAAACAACUCUGCAGAACAGUAUUUGAAUGGAACUCUGGUUUCUCAUAAUGCCUAAUAUGCAGACUUACCUAUUGAAAAGGGGGUCCAUAACUAUAAAGUCAUUUUUCUCGUAAAAGUGACUUGAACCAUGGUCUCAAAUCAGGUAGGAAGACCCGCUGAACUUAAG
This 316-nucleotide unclassified non-coding RNA is filed under the name uncultured fungus. Its description in RNAcentral is "sequence contains 5.8S rRNA gene". Lineage: Eukaryota; Fungi. The record is from RNAcentral.